GCAUGGUCAUGGAUUGAUGGUGGGCCCUUCUUUGUGGGCCUCUCAUAUUGUACCCGUGCCAGAGGAGUGUGCAGCCCUGAACCAUUGCCCAGUCUCCUCUCUGGUGGUCUGUGAGCACUGAAGGGGGCUGUACAGUG
Hyaena hyaena (striped hyena) is the source of this 137-nucleotide small nucleolar RNA. RefSeq annotates it as small nucleolar RNA SNORA42/SNORA80 family. The record is from RefSeq and is a predicted model, not a curated record. NCBI's taxonomy places the organism in Eukaryota, Metazoa, Chordata, Mammalia, Carnivora, Hyaenidae. The transcript has a single exon.